CUGGUUUCUCUUCAGAUCGAAUAAAUCUUUUGCCUUUUACUAAAGAUUUCCGUGGAGAGAAACAAUUCUG
RNAcentral lists this small nuclear RNA (70 nucleotides) under Dasypus novemcinctus (nine-banded armadillo). RNAcentral's name for it is "U5 spliceosomal RNA (ENSDNOG00000027002.1)". It matches the Rfam family "U5 spliceosomal RNA", at positions 6 to 75 of the family's 117-position model. Rfam says of the family: U5 RNA is a component of both types of known spliceosome. The precise function of this molecule is unknown, though it is known that the 5' loop is required for splice site selection and p220 binding, and that both the 3' stem-loop and the Sm site are important for Sm protein binding and cap methylation. Lineage: Eukaryota; Metazoa; Chordata; Mammalia; Cingulata; Dasypodidae. The record is from RNAcentral.